Brassica rapa (field mustard) is the source of this 985-nucleotide RNA transcript. RefSeq lists it as uncharacterized. The record is from RefSeq and is a predicted model, not a curated record. NCBI's taxonomy places the organism in Eukaryota, Viridiplantae, Streptophyta, Magnoliopsida, Brassicales, Brassicaceae.
AUGAAACCAUACGUGUCGGAACAGAACAAAACGACAGAACUGGAGUGCAGCCCUCAGGUUUUCCAAGUACAAGGAAACACGAAACAAGCGGUGUUCACUUGCAAGUUCGCCACGAGGAGUUGCAUAUCGUCGGACAAGGAACAACAGUCCAAAGAGAGAUAAGGUUGGUCCACAACGGUUCAUGACCUCUCCGGCUCACCGGUAGCGAUGGCUUCCAUGGUCACACCAUUCGUUCCAUCUCCAGGUUCGAACCGCGUGACGCGAUCAAGUCCCGGCGCGUGGCUUAUUCUCCGACCCGACGGUUGCACGUGGAAGCCGUGGGGACGACUAGAGGCAUGGCGUGAAACUGGUUACUCCGACGAACUCGGUUACCGCUUCGAGCUCUUCCAUGACGGAGUCGCCACCGAGGUCUACGCAUCGUCGUCUAUCAGUUUGAAAAAUGGCGGGAGUUUCGUUAUCGACGUUACCGUUGGGACAAACACGGCGGUCUCUACGCCGACAACGAGUCCUCAGGGAAGCUGUGAUCUCGGAUCCGGAUCUAGCGCCGGGUCGAGACCAUGAUCAGGAUCCUGGUCGGAGUUCGGAUAUCUACUGCCGCAGCACCCGGCGCAAAAGAGAGGGGUUUGUUAUGUUGGCUUCGGUGGAAGGAGUUGGGAAACGGAGAAAACCGGAGGUGGAAGUUGGUGCGACGCACGUGACAUGCACGGAGGAUGCAGCAGCGCACGUGGCGCUAGCUGCGGCGGUAGAUCUCAGUUUGGACGCUUGCAAGCUGUUUUCUCAUAAGCUAAGGAAGGAGUAGACAGCAAAGCCAGCUUGGUGUCGUUUGACGUAUAUUGCUUUGUCGUUUUACCGAUUCAUGAUGUCUUUUAGAAAAUGUUUAUUAAUUUAGGACUUUAGCCAACCAAUUAAAAUUGUUUGUAUAUUUCAUGUACAGCUAAAAUGACAGUAACAGCUUCUUAUCUCAUUAUCCGAUCCUUUUUAACUU